AUGAUGUACGGGCAUGGGAUUGAGGGGUUGGGUUUCUUCCACCUCGAGGUCCCGGAUGCCCCUCCGCCGUCUCCAUCCCUCCAGGCGAUUGUCACGGUCGUCGAUGGCGUGGCGUCCCCUGAGAUGCUCGAGGCGGAGCUCAACCACCUCUACCGACACCAGUGGGACUGGGUGGUCACCCCCUCCGCUGCAAUCUAUCCCCCUUGGCAACCUUGCCAAAGUGCCUCCGACUCUGCCAUCAUUUUCAGGGGGGAGGUCGGCCCCCCUUUAGUUCAGAUCGCUGCCAUUCGGGCACGCGAGAUCCUUGAGGGGAAGCUUGCCGAGGUCCGGGCUGCUCUCGACGCACCUACGGACGGGGUACCUCCCUCUUCCUCCGGGCCGCAGCGUCAGGCCCCUCCUCCCCCGGCCGUGAUCCGCGGCCGCACCCGCUCCCGCACUGCCGCUCUCCGCGCCCAGAGCGCCUCCCGAGUCCUGGGGUCAAGCAGCCCCCCGAUGGCUCCAUAA
Molecule: ribosomal RNA, 504 nt
Filed under: Triticum aestivum (bread wheat)
Lineage: Eukaryota; Viridiplantae; Streptophyta; Magnoliopsida; Poales; Poaceae
Description: partial small subunit ribosomal RNA
Source: RNAcentral